This 465-nucleotide ribosomal RNA is filed under the name Vreelandella stevensii. Its description in RNAcentral is "partial 16S ribosomal RNA". It matches the Rfam family "Bacterial small subunit ribosomal RNA", at positions 338 to 795 of the family's 1533-position model. Lineage: Bacteria; Pseudomonadati; Pseudomonadota; Gammaproteobacteria; Oceanospirillales; Halomonadaceae. The record is from RNAcentral.
CCUACGGGAGGCAGCAGUGGGGAAUAUUGGACAAUGGGCGAAAGCCUGAUCCAGCCAUGCCGCGUGUGUGAAGAAGGCCUUCGGGUUGUAAAGCACUUUCAGUGGGGAAGAAAGCCUUGGGGCUAAUACCCUCGAGGAAGGACAUCACCCACAGAAGAAGCACCGGCUAACUCCGUGCCAGCAGCCGCGGUAAUACGGAGGGUGCGAGCGUUAAUCGGAAUUACUGGGCGUAAAGCGCGCGUAGGCGGUCUGAUAAGCCGGUUGUGAAAGCCCCGGGCUCAACCUGGGAACGGCAUCCGGAACUGUCAGGCUAGAGUGCAGGAGAGGAAGGUAGAAUUCCCGGUGUAGCGGUGAAAUGCGUAGAGAUCGGGAGGAAUACCAGUGGCGAAGGCGGCCUUCUGGACUGACACUGACGCUGAGGUGCGAAAGCGUAGGUAGCAAACAGGAUUAGAUACCCGAGUAGUC